Monodelphis domestica (gray short-tailed opossum) is the source of this 291-nucleotide long non-coding RNA. RefSeq lists it as uncharacterized. The record is from RefSeq and is a predicted model, not a curated record. Lineage: Eukaryota; Metazoa; Chordata; Mammalia; Didelphimorphia; Didelphidae.
UAUAAGCAUACUGAGGCAUCACUGAGUUCAAUCAAAAUGACUAAAAAGAGGUCUCCAACAAGUGACCAUCUUCCCUUCACUUAAAGCUCUUUAGUGAGACAGAACCUACUCUUUCCUCCAGGAAGAUCACUCCAUUUUGAGAUGAGAAAAUUGGAAAAAAGGAUGGAGAAGAAAAGGAAGAAGAGCAGGAGGAAAAAAAGGAAGAGAAGAUACCCAAAUUAAACAUUGAGAACUGCUAGACCAUCUAAAGAAUAUUUCAAUAAAGAAUUUAAAAUAAUCAGAUUACAAAAU